This 460-nucleotide ribosomal RNA is filed under the name uncultured bacterium. RNAcentral's name for it is "partial 16S ribosomal RNA". It matches the Rfam family "Bacterial small subunit ribosomal RNA", at positions 338 to 795 of the family's 1533-position model. The record is from RNAcentral.
CCUACGGGUGGCAGCAGUGAGGAAUAUUGGUCAAUGGGCGCGAGCCUGAACCAGCCAAGUCGCGUGAGGGAAGACGGUCCUAUGGAUUGUAAACCUCUUUUGUCGGGGAGCAAAAGACGCCACGCGUGGCGUUCCGAGAGUACCCGAAGAAAAAGCAUCGGCUAACUCCGUGCUAGCAGCCGCGGUAAUACGGAGGAUCCGAGCGUUAUCCGGAUUUAUUGGGUUUAAAGGGAGCGUAGGCGGGUUGUUAAGUCAGUUGUGAAAGUUUGCGGCUCAACCGUAAAAUUGCAGUUGAUACUGGCAUCCUUGAGUACAGUAGAGGUAGGCGGAAUUCGGGGUGUAGCGGUGAAAUGCUUAGAUAUCACGAAGAACUCCGAUUGCGAAGGCAGCCUGCUGAACUGUAACUGACGCUGAUGCUCGAAAGGGUGGGUAUCAAACAGGAUUAGAUACCCCAGUAGUC